GGAUGAACGCUGGCGGCGUGCCUAAUACAUGCAAGUCGAGCGAACAGACGAGGAGCUUGCUCCUCUGACGUUAGCGGCGGACGGGUGAGUAACACGUGGAUAACCUACCUAUAAGACUGGGAUAACUUCGGGAAACCGGAGCUAAUACCGGAUAAUAUAUUGAACCGCAUGGUUCAAUAGUGAAAGACGGUUUUGCUGUCACUUAUAGAUGGAUCCGUGCCGCAUUAGCUAGUUGGUAAGGUAACGGCUUACCAAGGCAACGAUGCGUAGCCGACCUGAGAGGGUGAUCGGCCACACUGGAACUGAGACACGGUCCAGACUCCUACGGGAGGCAGCAGUAGGGAAUCUUCCGCAAUGGGCGAAAGCCUGACGGAGCAACGCCGCGUGAGUGAUGAAGGUCUUCGGAUCGUAAAACUCUGUUAUUAGGGAAGAACAAAUGUGUAAGUAACUAUGCACGUCUUGACGGUACCUAAUCAGAAAGCCACGGCUAACUACGUG
This 498-nucleotide ribosomal RNA is filed under the name uncultured bacterium. RNAcentral describes it as "partial 16S ribosomal RNA". It matches the Rfam family "Bacterial small subunit ribosomal RNA", at positions 27 to 507 of the family's 1533-position model. The record is from RNAcentral.